CCAUAGCUCAGUUGUUAGAGCAUGAGACUCUUAAUCUCACGGUCAUGGGUCCGAGCUCCACCGCAGGAGGU
Podarcis lilfordi (Lilford's wall lizard) is the source of this 71-nucleotide non-coding RNA. NCBI's taxonomy places the organism in Eukaryota, Metazoa, Chordata, Lepidosauria, Squamata, Lacertidae. The record is from the annotation of a GenBank genome assembly.